RNAcentral lists this ribosomal RNA (1286 nucleotides) under metagenome. Its description in RNAcentral is "SSU rRNA". It matches the Rfam family "Eukaryotic small subunit ribosomal RNA", at positions 493 to 1800 of the family's 1831-position model. The record is from RNAcentral.
AAUCGAGGCCCCGUAAUUGGAAUGAGUACACUUUAAAUCCUUUAACGAGGAUCAAUUGGAGGGCAAGUCUGGUGCCAGCAGCCGCGGUAAUUCCAGCUCCAAUAGCGUAUAUUAAAGUUGUUGCAGUUAAAAAGCUCGUAGUUGGAUCUCAGGAUUUGGAUGGAUGGUUCGCUUUCGGGCGCUACUAUCUGUCUGACCUACUCUAGUCGUGGAUGCCUUGGGUGCUCUUAAUUGAGCGCUUUUGGUGCCCGACGCAAUUACUUUGAAAAAAUUAGAGUGCUCAAAGCAGGCGUAUUGCCUGAAUAGUGUUGCAUGGAAUAAUGAAAUAGGAGUUUACUUCUAUUUUGUUGGUUUUCGGAGGUGAACUAAUGAUUAACAGGGACAGACGGGGGCAUUUGUAUGGAGGGGUUAGAGGUGAAAUUCUUGGAUCCUCUCCAGACAAACUACUGCGAAAGCAUUUGCCAGGAAUGUUUUCACUAAUCAAGAACGAAAGUCAGAGGUUCGAAGACGAUCAGAUACCGUCCUAGUUCUGACCAUAAAUGAUGCCAUCUAACAAUCCACGAAGUUUGCUUGUACGAACUCGUGGGCGGUCCCCGGGAAACCAAAGAUUUUGGGUUCCGGGGGAAGUAUGGUUGCAAAGCUGAAACUUAAAGGAAUUGACGGAAGGGCACCACCAGGAGUGGAGCCUGCGGCUUAAUUUGACACAACACGGGAAACCUCACCCGGCCCGGACACUUUUAGGAUUGACAGAUUGAAGGCUCUUUCUUGAUCAAGUGGUUGGUGGUGCAUGGCCGUUCUUAGUUGGUGGAGCGAUUUGUCUGGUUAAUUCCGAUAACGAACGAGACUCUACUCUGCUAAAUAGAACGUUGAUAUAUAAAAGUCAGUGCUGACUUCUUAGAGAGACUAACGGCGUUUAGCCGUGUGAGAAAGAGCAAUAACAGGUCUGAGAUGCCCUUAGAUGUCCGGGGCCGCACGCGCGCUACACUGACUGCAGCAACUAGUAUGCUCCUGGUUUGAAAAAACUGGGUAACCUGGUUGAAUUGCAGGCGUGACAGGGAUCAGAGUUUGCAAUUAUCCUCUGUGAACGAGGAAUUCCCAGUAAGCGCAAGUCAUUAGCUUGUGCUGAUUACGUCCCUGCCCUUUGUACACACCGCCCGUCGCUACUACCGAUUGAAUGGUUUAGUGAGGUCUUCGGAUUGGUGCUGAUGGAGUGGUUCUCUGCUCUGUUAGUGCCGAGAAGAUGAUCAAACUUGAUCAUUUAGAGGAAGUAAAAGUCGUAACAAGGU